CCUACGGGAGGCAGCAGUGAGGAAUAUUGGUCAAUGGGCGGAAGCCUGAACCAGCCAAGUCGCGUGAGGGAAUAAGGCCCUACGGGUCGUAAACCUCUUUUGCCGGGGAGCAAGUGCGGGUACGUGUCCCGUCCCGGAGAGUACCCGGAGACAAAGCAUCGGCUAACUCCGGGCCAGCAGCCGCGGUAAUACGGAGGAUGCGAGGGUUAUCCGGAUUUAUUGGGUUUAAAGGGUGCGUGGGAGGGCUUUUAAGUCAGCGGUAAAAAUUCGGGGCUCAACCCCGUCCGGCCGUUGAAACUGGGAGCCUUGAGUGGGGGAGAAGAAGGCGGAAUGCCUGGUGUAGCGGUGAAAUGCAUAGAGAUCACGCAGAACCCCGAUUGCGAAGGCAGCCUGCCGGAGCCCGACUGACGCUGAGGCACGAAAGUGCGGGGAUCGAACAGGAUUAGAUACCCGUGUAGUC
This 460-nucleotide ribosomal RNA is filed under the name uncultured bacterium. RNAcentral's name for it is "partial 16S ribosomal RNA". It matches the Rfam family "Bacterial small subunit ribosomal RNA", at positions 338 to 795 of the family's 1533-position model. The record is from RNAcentral.